RNAcentral lists this long non-coding RNA (233 nucleotides) under Mytilus galloprovincialis (Mediterranean mussel). Lineage: Eukaryota; Metazoa; Mollusca; Bivalvia; Mytilida; Mytilidae. The record is from RNAcentral.
CCGUCCGUAACACUUUAACUUUGUGUCCGCUCUAUAUCUUAAAAACCGUUAUGAUUUCAAAGUUUAUACUUGACAUCCAUUUUAACCAACACCAGAGGGUGUGUCAUGAUGUAUGUAAAACUUCCUAGGUCAAAGGUCAAGGUCAAAAACUUUGGUUUCAGUUGACAACCCUGUGUCCUGUGGUGAAGAUCGUGUCCGCUCUAUAUCUUGAGAACCGUUAUGAUUUCAAAGUU